Molecule: long non-coding RNA, 849 nt
Filed under: Eucalyptus grandis
Lineage: Eukaryota; Viridiplantae; Streptophyta; Magnoliopsida; Myrtales; Myrtaceae
Description: long non-coding RNA (EGRA_LNC005431)
Source: RNAcentral
AAUAACACAAAUGUUAAAGAAAACAAACACUACCAUAUUUGGUCCCGAUCGAUACUUAACAAUAGCAACAAGAAACCUAUUAGUCGAUUCUAGUGCCCAAAGCACCAACCACUAAAAGAAACUUGCAUUCGAUAAGACCUUGAUUAUUUUCUUAAGAAUCAAAUUAAGAAAAAAAUCACAAAGGAUUUGCAUCAUCGCAGUCGAAACUACCUUGAGGAUCUGCUGUCGAAGUGGACCACGUUAGCACGUCACUGGAUAGACGAGAUCUAGGGCUUGGCCGACCUCAAAUUUGAGAUCCAAAAAUCGACCUUCCCGGUCUAGCUCGCAAUCGAUGGUGACUGCGGCCUGCUCAGUAAGAAUCAAUGGUGACGGGCUGUUGUGGAGGCGAUGACGGUGGUUGAGGGUGGAGGCAACAAGGCAGCAGCAACGACGAAGGGAUGGCUGUUUCCGGUGAGAGUGGCGAGUUGAAAUUGAAGAGGGAUGAGGUGUUGAUUGGCAGCAACAGCCAUGGACUGAACUGUUGAGCUUCCGAUGGACAAAUGCGAGGGUGAUGUCGGUUUUGGAGAGCUGUGGGUUGCUUGUGGGGGCGAUUGUUCAGCAAACAAGGGCCAAAGCAGGGAGAAGCAGAACAUGAAGGGCAGUUCCGAUCGUGGACGGUUGCUGCUCUAGCUUUGGCGAUACCAGAACAGAGCUUCCUCUGUUUUUCAGUGGCUGUUUCAGUCGGCCAAAGGGAAACCGAAGCAGGGGAGCCGAAACAGGGGACCGAAACCUUUAAUGAAGAAGAAGACAAGGGGAUUUUCGGCUGAGGAAAAGAAAGGAAAAGGAAAGAAGGAGAAAGGAAGAGAGAGG